GGGCCCCCUCACCUUGCUCAGAAGCCUAAAACCUGACGCAGCAACGCCGCGUGAGUGAUGAAGGCCCUCGGGUCGUAAAGCUCUGUCAGAGGGGAAGAACCUCCAAUCGGUUAAUAUCCGGUUGGCCUGACGGUACCCUCAAAGGAAGCACCGGCUAACUCCGUGCCAGCAGCCGCGGUAAUACGGAGGGUGCAAGCGUUGUUCGGAAUUAUUGGGCGUAAAGCGCGUGUAGGCGGCUGUUUAAGUCUGAUGUGAAAGCCCUGGGCUCAACCCGGGAAGUGCAUUGGAAACUGGACAGCUUGAAUACGGGAGAGGGAAGUGGAAUUUCGAGUGUAGGGGUGAAAUCCGUAGAUAUUCGAAGGAACACCGGUGGCGAAGGCGGCUUCCUGGACCGAUAUUGACGCUGAGACGCGAAAGCGUGGGGAGCAAACAGGAUUAGAUACCCUGGUAGUCCACGCCGUAAACGAU
RNAcentral lists this ribosomal RNA (468 nucleotides) under uncultured prokaryote. Its description in RNAcentral is "bacterial SSU rRNA". It matches the Rfam family "Bacterial small subunit ribosomal RNA", at positions 351 to 810 of the family's 1533-position model. The record is from RNAcentral.